GAAAGGGUGUGGAUACCGAAACGCACCUGGGAUUUAAAGAUCCCCUAUUAAA
The submitters of this non-coding RNA (52 nucleotides) gave its source as unclassified sequences. The record is from Rfam.